This 450-nucleotide ribosomal RNA is filed under the name uncultured bacterium. Its description in RNAcentral is "partial 16S ribosomal RNA". It matches the Rfam family "Bacterial small subunit ribosomal RNA", at positions 354 to 796 of the family's 1533-position model. The record is from RNAcentral.
GUGGGGAAUAUUGGACAAUGGGCGAAAGCCUGAUCCAGCCAUGCCGCGUGUGUGAAGAAGGUCUUCGGAUUGUAAAGCACUUUAAGUUGGGAGGAAGGGCAGUAAGUUAAUACCUUGCUGUUUUGACGUUACCGACAGAAUAAGCACCGGCUAACUUCGUGCCAGCAGCCGCGGUAAUACGAAGGGUGCAAGCGUUAAUCGGAAUUACUGGGCGUAAAGCGCGCGUAGGUGGUUUUGUAAGUUGGAGGUGAAAUCCCCGGGCUCAACCUGGGAACUGCCUCCAGAACUGCAUGACUAGAGUACGGUAGAGGGUAGUGGAAUUUCCUGUGUAGCGGUGAAAUGCGUAGAUAUAGGAAGGAACACCAGUGGCGAAGGCGACUACCUGGACUGAUACUGACACUGAGGUGCGAAAGCGUGGGGAGCAAACAGGAUUAGAUACCCCAGUAGUCC